Molecule: ribosomal RNA, 506 nt
Filed under: uncultured bacterium
Lineage: Bacteria
Description: partial 16S ribosomal RNA
Rfam family: Bacterial small subunit ribosomal RNA
Source: RNAcentral
GAUGAACGCUAGCUACAGGCUUAACACAUGCAAGUCGAGGGGUAACGAGAGGAAAGCUUGCUUUCCUUGUCGACGACCGGCGCACGGGUGAGUAACGCGUAUCCAACCUGCCCCCAACUAAGGAAUAACCUUGCGAAAGUAAGACUAAUACCUUAUAAUUUCCUCAGAUGUCAUCUGACGAGGAAUAAAGAUUUAUCGGUUGUGGAUGGGGAUGCGUCUGAUUAGCUUGUUGGCGGGGUAACGGCCCACCAAGGCAACGAGCAGUAGGGGUUCUGAGAGGAAGGUCCCCCACAGUGGAACUGAGACACGGUCCAAACUCCUACGGGAGGCAGCAGUGAGGAAUAUUGGUUAAUGGGCGGAAGCCUGAACCAGCCAAGUAGCGUGCAGGAUGACGGCCCUAUGGGUUGUAAACUGCUUUUAUACAGGAAUAAAGUUAGCCACGUGUGGUUAUUUGUAGGUACUGUAUGAAUAAGGACCGGCUAAUUCCGUGCCAGCAGCCGCCGUAA